ACCAAUCUUUUGCUGGUGACAAAGUCUUCAAACCAAUUUAAGUUAAAAGUGGUGUAUCUACAGGAUUUCGGACGUGGACUGAGCCAUGGCCUUAUACUCGAAUUUUCUACUGGAUUGAGAUACAACACUUUGUUUCCUUCUCCUCCAUGAUACAAGGUCCCUCCAACAAAGACACAAUAGCCUGUAGUAGAUCUUCUGUCAGUUUUGAUUCAGCCCAAUUCGCAUCUGUAAACACACAAUAUUAUCACGUUCGUGGUCACUA
This 262-nucleotide long non-coding RNA is filed under the name Nicotiana benthamiana. RNAcentral's name for it is "long non-coding RNA (NBEN_LNC001419)". The record is from RNAcentral. Lineage: Eukaryota; Viridiplantae; Streptophyta; Magnoliopsida; Solanales; Solanaceae.